GACGAACGCUGGCGGCGUGCUUAACACAUGCAAGUCGAACGAAGAGCGAUGGAAGCUUGCUUCUAUCAAUCUUAGUGGCGCACGUGUGAGUAACGCGUAAUCAACCUGCCCUUCAGAGGGGGACAACAGUUGGAAACGACUGCUAAUACCGCAUACGAUCUAAUCUCGGCAUCGAGGAUAUAUUAAAGGUGGCCUCUACAUGUAAGCUAUCACUUAAGGAGGGGUUUGCGUCUGAUUAGCUAGUUGGAGGUGUAACGGCCCACCAAUGGGAUGAUCAGUAGCCGGUCUGAGAGGAUGAACGGCCAAAAUGGGAAGGAGAAACGGCCCAGAAUACUACGGGAGGCAGCAGUGGGGAAUCUUCCGCAAUGGACGAAAGUCUGACGGAGAAACGCCGCGUGAGUGAGGACGGCCUUCGGGUUGUAAAGCUCUGUUAAUCGGGACGAAAGGCAUUCUUGCGAAUAGUGAGAAGGAUUGACGGUACCGGAAUAGAAAGCCACGGCUAACUACGUG
This 510-nucleotide ribosomal RNA is filed under the name uncultured bacterium. RNAcentral describes it as "partial 16S ribosomal RNA". It matches the Rfam family "Bacterial small subunit ribosomal RNA", at positions 28 to 507 of the family's 1533-position model. The record is from RNAcentral.